Molecule: transfer RNA, 81 nt
Filed under: Apicomplexa sp. corallicolid ex Leiopathes glaberrima
Lineage: Eukaryota; Apicomplexa
Description: tRNA-Tyr
Rfam family: tRNA
About the family: Transfer RNA (tRNA) molecules are approximately 80 nucleotides in length. Their secondary structure includes four short double-helical elements and three loops (D, anti-codon, and T loops).
Source: RNAcentral
GAGUGGAUGCCCGAGCGGUCAAUGGGGGCGGAUUGUAAAUCCGUUGGAUUUCCUACAUCGGUUCAAAUCCGAUUCGACUCA